AAUGAAAGUGUAAGCAUUCCACCUCAAGAGUAAUGUGGCAACGCAGGAACUGAAAUCAUUAGACCGUUUCUGAAACCAGUAGUGAAGUAUGUUAUUUAAUUCGAUAACCCUCGAAAAACCUUACCACAAUUUGAAUACUUCGACCUUUGGUCGUUGUACAAGUGUUGCACGGCUGUCUUCAGUUAAUGUCGUGAGAUUCUGGUUAGAUCCAUUAAAUUAACGUAAACCCUUACUUUAUUUGUUUUUUA
This 248-nucleotide ribosomal RNA is filed under the name Coccolithus braarudii. RNAcentral's name for it is "partial Bacterial small subunit ribosomal RNA". It matches the Rfam family "Bacterial small subunit ribosomal RNA", at positions 848 to 1124 of the family's 1533-position model. Lineage: Eukaryota; Haptophyta; Coccolithales; Coccolithaceae. The record is from RNAcentral.